GGGGACACUGAGGGCUCUGGGGACACACAGAGAGGGGUCUGUAGGGUCCUUGGGUGGUGCGUAGGGAUCCUGAGGGGUUUGUGGGGACAGAGGGCUCUGAGCUCAUUGCCCCCUCCCCACAGUGGAGCAGCACAAGGAGGCACUGGAGAGGUCCUGGCAGCAGGUGCAGGGUGAGCCCAGGGGGCCCUGGGGUCUUUGGGACCCCCCCCAAAACCUCCCCUGAUGCCCCCUGACCCCCUUGACCCCCAUGAUUCCCUGACCCUUGUGGCCCCUCCUGACUCCCCCACAGGGGUUGGGACCCCCUUGGCCCCUGUGACCCCCUGACCCCCCUGACCUCAACCCCUGUGACCCCCCUGCCCCCCCAGAGUCGCUGCAGAGAGCACAACUGCAAGGGAAGGAGGUGGAGGCCAAAGGUCAGAGGCGCUGUGGGCUCUGCCUGGAGCAGCAGCAGGACAUGGAAGGGACAAAGCAGCACUGGAAGCAGCUGAAAGACCGUCCCCUCACCCUCAGGUGGCAGCACUGCCAGCAGCUCGAGUCCAUCAUGGAGGAGCUCAAGCACCUGCGUGUCACACACGUGAGCCCUGGGCUGGGGUCCCUCGCACACCUGGGGGUCCCUCGCACACCUGGGGGUCCCUCACACACAUCCUGGGAUCACACACCCCCUCCCCUGCUCCGUGUCCCCCUCCCACCCCUGUCCCCCCACAGGCUCCGGCCCACCUGGAGGCUGAACUGGUGCAGCUGGAGAAGAUGGAGGAGAAGUGGCUGAACUGGGGUGAGCCCCUGACACCUGAGUGACCCCUCAGGACCCCCCUCAGGCACCUGAGGAACACCCUCAGACACCUCAGUGACCUCUGCCAACACCUGAGUGACCCCUGGACACCUGAGCCCCCCCAAACCCCGGAGUGUCCCCUUGGGCUGACCGGUGUCCCCCCCUUGCCCAGAGCGCCGUGUGAUGGACACCGAGGAGCAGCUGGGCCCACAGGCACCUGUGCUCAGGUGAGUGCCCAGCUCUGGCCCCGCCCCCUCCAAGGUGACCCUGCCCACUCAGGCCUGGCCCCGCCCCCUAACCCCCAUCCUCGCAGGCGAUUGGUGCAGCAGGACCAGGAGGGGGCGCAGCGACAGCUGGAGGUGGAGCUGGGCCGGCAGCGGCUGAGCCGGCGGCGCCGUGACAGGUGUGUGACACCUGGGGACAGGUGUGUGACCCCGGGGACAGGUGUGUGACCCCGGGACAGGUGUGGGACCCCUGGGGACAGGUGUGGGACAGAUGUGAGGGACAGUAUGUGACCCCUGGGACAGGUGUGUGACCCCGGGACAGGUGUGUGACACCUGGGACAGGUGUGGGACAGGUGUGCCCCUGUCACCUGCCCCACCCACCUCUGGCCCCGCCCCCAGGUUGGCCGAGGAGCUGCAGCAGCUGCAGCGCCCCCGCGAGGCUCA
This 1437-nucleotide long non-coding RNA is filed under the name Taeniopygia guttata (zebra finch). RNAcentral describes it as "lncRNA (ENSTGUG00000023692.1)". Lineage: Eukaryota; Metazoa; Chordata; Aves; Passeriformes; Estrildidae. The record is from RNAcentral.